This 450-nucleotide ribosomal RNA is filed under the name uncultured bacterium. Its description in RNAcentral is "bacterial SSU rRNA". It matches the Rfam family "Bacterial small subunit ribosomal RNA", at positions 354 to 796 of the family's 1533-position model. The record is from RNAcentral.
GUGAGGAAUUUUGCGCAAUGGGGGAAACCCUGACGCAGCAACGCCGCGUGAGCGAAGAAGGCCUUCGGGUUGUAAAGCUCUGUCUAGUGGGAAAAACCUCCUGGCGUAAAUAGCGCCAGGAAUUGAUGGUACCGCUGGAGGAAGCACCGGCUAACUCCGUGCCAGCAGCCGCGGUAAUACGGAGGGUGCAAGCGUUGUUCGGAAUUAUUGGGCGUAAAGGGCGUGUAGGCGGUUUGGUAAGUCAGAUGUGAAAGCCCUGGGCUCAACCCAGGAAGUGCAUUUGAAACUGCCAUUCUUGAGUAUGGGAGAGGAGAGUGGAAUUCCCAGUGUAGAGGUGAAAUUCGUAGAUAUUGGGAGGAACACCCGUGGCGAAGGCGACUCUCUGGACCAAUACUGACGCUGAGACGCGAAAGCGUGGGGAGCAAACAGGAUUAGAUACCCCAGUAGUCC